Molecule: ribosomal RNA, 422 nt
Filed under: uncultured bacterium
Lineage: Bacteria
Description: bacterial SSU rRNA
Rfam family: Bacterial small subunit ribosomal RNA
Source: RNAcentral
UGAGGAAUAAUGGGCAAUGCCCGAAAGGGUGACCCAGCAACGCCGCGUGGAGGAUGAAGGUCGUAAGAUUGUAAACUCCUGUUAGAGGGGAAGAAUAACUAAGUUUGGAGCUUAGUAUGACUGUACCCUCAGAGAAAGCCCCGGCUAACUACGUGCCAGCAGCCGCGGUAAUACGUAGGGGGCAAGCGUUGUCCGGAUUUACUGGGUGUAAAGGGCGCGCAGGCGGAAUGGAAAGUCAGUGGUGAAAUCCUACAGCUUAACUGUAGAACUGCCUUUGAUACUUUCAUUCUUGAGUUCGGGAGAGAGAGACGGAAUUCCAGGUGUAGUGGUGAAAUACGUAGAUAUCUGGAAGAACACCAGUUGCGAAGGCGGUCUCUUGGUCCGACACUGACGCUGAGGCGCGAAAGCGUGGGGAGCAAACA